Molecule: long non-coding RNA, 229 nt
Organism: Carassius auratus (goldfish)
Lineage: Eukaryota; Metazoa; Chordata; Actinopteri; Cypriniformes; Cyprinidae
Exons: 3
Source: RefSeq, a predicted model, not a curated record
GGGUCACACUUGAAAUGAAAAGUAAAAGUAUUUUCCUCCUGGGCAUCAUCAUUUCAGGACAAAUGCUCAGGGACACAGCGAAGCUACAUGUAAAUGUGCUAAGGUUGAGCUCGUCAUUUCAGAUUACAGGAGUGCACAGACAUACUGAAGACAGCAGAUGGAUGUCUCUAAUAAUGAAGACAAAAGAGGAACUGUGGAGCCUGAUGAAUGCUGUUUCUAAAAUCAGUAU